GGGGGAGGCCGGAUCCUGGGCUGUGUUCCAGCACCCAGUGCUCCCGGGCCUGCCUGUUGGAUUCGCGCUCCCAGUGGCGGAGCCGAUGCCC
Molecule: microRNA precursor, 91 nt
Filed under: Canis lupus familiaris (dog)
Lineage: Eukaryota; Metazoa; Chordata; Mammalia; Carnivora; Canidae
Also listed under: 1 other name
Description: mir-8799 microRNA precursor family
Rfam family: mir-8799 microRNA precursor family
Source: Rfam by way of RNAcentral